This 467-nucleotide ribosomal RNA is filed under the name uncultured bacterium. RNAcentral describes it as "partial 16S ribosomal RNA". It matches the Rfam family "Bacterial small subunit ribosomal RNA", at positions 28 to 507 of the family's 1533-position model. The record is from RNAcentral.
GACGAACGCUGGCGGCGUGCUUAACACAUGCAAGUCGAACGGAAAGGCCCUGCUUUUGUGGUGUGCUCGAGUGGCGAACGGGUGAGUAACACGUGAGUAACCUGCCCUUGACUUUGGGAUAACUUCAGGAAACUGGGGCUAAUACCGGAUAGGAGCUCCUGCUGCAUGGUGGGGGUUGGAAAGUUUCGGCGGUGGGGGAUGGACUCGCGGCUUAUCAGCUUGUUGGUGGGGUAGUGGCUUACCAAGGCUUUGACGGGUAGCCGGCCUGAGAGGGUGACCGGCCAUUGUGGGAGGGAGACCGGGCCCAGCCCUACGGGGGGCGGCAGUGGGGGAUAUUUCACAAAGGGGGGGAGACCGUGGCAACGACACCCCGUGGGGGGUGGGGGGCCUCUGGGGUUGAACACCUUUUUCGACGGGGGAAAAUGGUGGGGGCGGGAAAUGGGUAAAGAAGCCCCGGUAACUUAGGG